AGAGAGAGAGAGAGAGAGAGAGAGCAAUAAGAAGAGUCGAAUCUCACCUCAUCCACUUGAGGUUCAGACAAGGAGGGGCCUGUACCCAACUUGCACUUGCCACAAAUUAGGACCUUCAUCAAUUCUGCCUACGUUGGCGGAAAUGUCUGAGAAUAAAGCUGUCUGCAUACAGUGGAUAGUUCUUCCUGAUCAGGCCCUUAAUGCACUUCCAAUAAGAAAAGUCAACCAAUUGUCCAUCUUCUCGGACUAUGAACAAACAUCUUGAGGUUUCAUAAUCAGGAUGCAGCCCAACUGUAAUAUAAUCAAUUCCACAUCCAAUCUUCUUUUUACACUCUGGAUGAUAUGGAAGCAAUCUCUCAACAACGGUUCUCUCAUGCUCUGGACUUAAUCUAUCUCCAUUUUCGUAUUUGCCAGAAUGAAGAAUCAUUCUAACAAAGCCAACAAGCGGAACAGUGUCCUCCAAAAUCUGGUCCUCCCAAUCGACCCAUUCCUCAUCUUCCUUCUCCUCGUAAUUUCUCUUCCCGUCACUGUCCUCCUCAUCUUCAGAAAUUCCACCACCCAUGUCCUUCCGCGGAGGGACAAUCGGUUUCCUGAGCCCGUCGGAUCCAGUCUUUAGCGCAGAAACACGGGGAUUAAGCGACGCCGUUAGGUGAAAAGGGAAAGAUAAGAUCAUGGGAGAGGUAUAGAAAGAGAUAGGAUUGGAGUGGCCAUACAAGCAUGCGGGAAUUGGUGGGUUAGAUAAGGAAGCCAUGUUCAUGCUCUAUCUCUGUGCUGUAAGGUACUUGGUUACCGGAGUUGCGAUUUGCUACUUCAGUUUUCAGUUCUCAAGCGUCAUUUGGGUAUGGUCCGUAUGAACCAGGGAGGGGCGGGGAAGAAGUUCUAAGGAGGUUAACGGUCGCGUUAAAGAGUAAAGACCGUUCAGCGCUCUGG
Molecule: unclassified non-coding RNA, 930 nt
Filed under: Hevea brasiliensis (rubber tree)
Lineage: Eukaryota; Viridiplantae; Streptophyta; Magnoliopsida; Malpighiales; Euphorbiaceae
Source: RNAcentral